GAUGAACGCUGGCGGCGUGCCUAAUACAUGCAAGUCGAGCGAACAGACGAGGAGCUUGCUCCUCUGACGUUAGCGGCGGACGGGUGAGUAACACGUGGAUAACCUACCUAUAAGACUGGGAUAACUUCGGGAAACCGGAGCUAAUACCGGAUAAUAUAUUGAACCGCAUGGUUCAAUAGUGAAAGACGGUUUUGCUGUCACUUAUAGAUGGAUCCGCGCCGCAUUAGCUAGUUGGUAAGGUAACGGCUUACCAAGGCAACGAUGCGUAGCCGACCUGAGAGGGUGAUCGGCCACACGGGAACUGAGACACGGUCCAGACCCCUACGGGGGGAAGCAGUAGGGAAUCUUCCGAAAGGGGCGAAAGCCUGACGGAGCAACGCCGGGGGAGUGAUGAAGGUCUUCGGAUCGUAAAACUCUUUUAUUGGGGAAAAAAAAAUGUUUAAGAAACUAGGCCCGUUUUGACGGUCCCUAAUAAGAAACCCACGGCUAACUCC
RNAcentral lists this ribosomal RNA (494 nucleotides) under uncultured bacterium. RNAcentral's name for it is "partial 16S ribosomal RNA". It matches the Rfam family "Bacterial small subunit ribosomal RNA", at positions 28 to 504 of the family's 1533-position model. The record is from RNAcentral.